AUGGACAUGGCACCGCCUGCAUCCGCCGUCUCCUUCUCCCCCCGCCCAUCGACGGGAACGACUUUCCGGCCCCGCGCCGCUUCCGCCUCUGGCUCCGUGGGCGCCGGGCGGGUCCGCGCGGCGGUAGCCCCCGAGGGAGGCAAGUGGUGGGCGCCACUGCUCGGCUGGUCUGGGCGGGCGGACUACAUCGAGGCCGCGGCACCGGCGCCGGCGAUGGCGAUGGCGAUGGCGGCGGAGGAGGAGGAGAAGGCGGGGAGGUCGUUCGUGGGCGGCCUGACGGAGGAGAAGGCGCGGCAGCUGCGGGCGCGGAUGGUGGAGACGGAGAGCUUCCACGAUGCCAUGUACCACUCCGCCAUCGCCUCCCGCCUCGCGCGCUCCACCUAG
This 384-nucleotide ribosomal RNA is filed under the name Triticum aestivum (bread wheat). RNAcentral's name for it is "partial small subunit ribosomal RNA". Lineage: Eukaryota; Viridiplantae; Streptophyta; Magnoliopsida; Poales; Poaceae. The record is from RNAcentral.